RNAcentral lists this ribosomal RNA (473 nucleotides) under uncultured bacterium. RNAcentral describes it as "bacterial SSU rRNA". It matches the Rfam family "Bacterial small subunit ribosomal RNA", at positions 28 to 507 of the family's 1533-position model. The record is from RNAcentral.
GAUAAACGCUGGCGGCGCACAUAAGACAUGCAAGUCGAACGAACUUAACCUUUAGUUUACUAAUGGAGCGGUUAGUGGCGGACUGGUGAGUAACACGUAAGCAACCUGCCUAUCAGAGGGGAACAACAGUUAGAAAUGACUGCUAAUACCGCAUAUGCCUUGAAUAUCACAUGAUAUAAAAGGGAAAGGAGCAAUCCGCUGAUAGAUGGGCUUGCGUCUGAUUAGAUAGUUGGUGGGGUAACGGCCUACCAAGUCGACGAUCAGUAGCCGGACUGAGAGGUUGAACGGCCACAUUGGAACUGAGAAACGGUCCAGACUCCUACGGGAGGCAGCAGUGGGGAAUAUUGGGCAAUGGAGGCAACUCUGACCCAGCGACGCCGCGUGAGUGAUGAAGGUCUUCGGGUUGUAAACCUCUGUCCUCAGUGACGAAUAAAGUGACGGUAGCUGAGGAGGAAGCCACGGCUAACUACGUG